This 79-nucleotide ribosomal RNA is filed under the name Desulfuromonadales bacterium. Lineage: Bacteria; Pseudomonadati; Thermodesulfobacteriota; Desulfuromonadia; Desulfuromonadales. The record is from RNAcentral.
CUCGAACACAGAAGUUAAGCCCUACUGCGCCGAUGAUACUGCAUGGGAGACUAUGUGGGAAAGUAGGUCGCCGCCGAAA